This 448-nucleotide ribosomal RNA is filed under the name uncultured bacterium. RNAcentral's name for it is "partial 16S ribosomal RNA". It matches the Rfam family "Bacterial small subunit ribosomal RNA", at positions 329 to 794 of the family's 1533-position model. The record is from RNAcentral.
CACCAGACUCCUACGGGAGGCAGCAGUGGGGAAUAUUGCACAAUGGGGGAAACCCUGAUGCAGCGACGCCGCGUGAAGGAAGAAGUAUUUCGGUAUGUAAACUUCUAUCAGCAGGGAAGAAAAUGACGGUACCUGACUAAGAAGCCCCGGCUAACUACGUGCCAGCAGCCGCGGUAAUACGUAGGGGGCAAGCGUUAUCCGGAUUUACUGGGUGUAAAGGGGGCGCAGACGGCGAUGCAAGCCAGGAGUGAAAGCCCAGGGCCCAACCCCGGGACUGCUCUUGGAACUGCGUGGCUAGAGUGCAGGAGGGGCAGGCGGAAUUCCUGGUGUAGCGGUGAAAUGCGUAGAUAUCAGGAGGAACACCGGUGGCGAAGGCGGCCUGCUGGACUGCAACUGACGUUGAGGCCCGAAAGCGUGGGGAGCAAACAGGAUUAGAUACCCGAGUAAA